AUUGAACGCUGGCGGCAGGCUUAACACAUGCAAGUCGAACGAGUGGAGGACGGGUGAGUAAUGCUUGGGCAUCUAGUUUCUGGAGGGGGAUAACUACGGGAAACUGUAGCUAAUAACGCGUACCAUAGGCUGAGCCCAAGUGGGAUUAGGUAGUUGGUGAGGUGAAGGCUCACCAAGCCGACGAGCUCUAGCUGGUCUGAGAGGAUGACCAGCCACACGGGGACGGAGACACGGCCCAGACUCCUACGGGAGGCAGCAGUGGGGAAUAUUGCACAAUGGGCGAAAGCCUGAUGCAGCCAUGCCGCGUGUAUGAAGAAGGCCUUCGGGUUGUAAAGUACUGUCAGCGAGGAGGCGUUACUCGCAGAAGAAGCACCGGCUAACUCCGUGCCAGCAGCCGCGGUAAUUC
Molecule: ribosomal RNA, 406 nt
Filed under: uncultured bacterium
Lineage: Bacteria
Description: partial 16S ribosomal RNA
Rfam family: Bacterial small subunit ribosomal RNA
Source: RNAcentral